AAAGCGAGUCUGAAUAGGGCGUUUAGUAUUUGGUCGUAGACCCGAAACCAGGUGAUCUACCCUUGGUCAGGUUGAAGUUCAGGUAACACUGAAUGGAGGACCGAACCGACUUACGUUGAAAAGUGAGCGGAUGAACUGAGGGUAGCGGAGAAAUUCCAAUCGAACCUGGAGAUAGCUGGUUCUCUCCGAAAUAGCUUUAGGGCUAGCCUCAAGUGAUGAUUAUUGGAGGUAGAGCACUGUUUGGACGAGGGGCCCCUCUCGGGUUACCGAAUUCAGACAAACUCCGAAUGCCAAUUAAUUUAACUUGGGAGUCAGAACAUGGGUGAUAAGGUCCGUGUUCGAAAGGGAAACAGCCCAGACCACCAGCUAAGGUCCCAAAAUAUAUGUUAAGUGGAAAAGGAUGUGGCGUUGCCCAGACAACUAGGAUGUUGGCUUAGAAGCAGCCAUCAUUUAAAGAGUGCGUAAUAGCUCACUAGUCGAGUGACACUGCGCCGAAAAUGUACCGGGGCUAAACAUAUUACCGAAGCUGUGGAUUGUCCUUUGGACAAUGGUAGGAGAGCGUUCUAAGGGCGUUGAAGCAUGAUCGUAAGGACAUGUGGAGCGCUUAGAAGUGAGAAUGCCGGUGUGAGUAGCGAAAGACGGGUGAGAAUCCCGUCCACCGAUUGACUAAGGUUUCCAGAGGAAGGCUCGUCCGCUCUGGGUUAGUCGGGUCCUAAGCUGAGGCCGACAGGCGUAGGCGAUGGAUAACAGGUUGAUAUUCCUGUACCACCUAUAAUCGUUUUAAUCGAUGGGGGGACGCAGUAGGAUAGGCGAAGCGUGCGAUUGGAUUGCACGUCUAAGCAGUAAGGCUGAGUAUUAGGCAAAUCCGGUACUCGUUAAGGCUGAGCUGUGAUGGGGAGAAGACAUUGAGUCUUCGAGUCGUUGAUUUCACACUGCCGAGAAAAGCCUCUAGAUAGAAAAUAGGUGCCCGUACCGCAAACCGACACAGGUAGUCAAGAUGAGAAUUCUAAGGUGAGCGAGCGAACUCUCGUUAAGGAACUCGGCAAAAUGACCCCGUAACUUCGGGAGAAGGGGUGCUCUUUAGGGUUAACGCCCAGAAGAGCCGCAGUGAAUAGGCCCAAGCGACUGUUUAUCAAAAACACAGGUCUCUGCUAAACCGUAAGGUGAUGUAUAGGGGCUGACGCCUGCCCGGUGCUGGAAGGUUAAGAGGAGUGGUUAGCUUCUGCGAAGCUACGAAUCGAAGCCCCAGUAAACGGCGGCCGUAACUAUAACGGUCCUAAGGUAGCGAAAUUCCUUGUCGGGUAAGUUCCGACCCGCACGAAAGGCGUAACGAUUUGGGCACUGUCUCAACGAGAGACUCGGUGAAAUCAUAGUACCUGUGAAGAUGCAGGUUACCCGCGACAGGACGGAAAGACCCCGUGGAGCUUUACUGUAGCCUGAUAUUGAAAUUCGGCACAGCUUGUACAGGAUAGGUAGGAGCCUUUGAAACGUGAGCGCUAGCUUACGUGGAGGCGCUGGUGGGAUACUACCCUAGCUGUGUUGGCUUUCUAACCCGCACCACUUAUCGUGGUGGGAGACAGUGUCAGGCGGGCAGUUUGACUGGGGCGGUCGCCUCCUAAAAGGUAACGGAGGCGCUCAAAGGUUCCCUCAGAAUGGUUGGAAAUCAUUCAUAGAGUGUAAAGGCAUAAGGGAGCUUGACUGCGAGACCUACAAGUCGAGCAGGGUCGAAAGACGGACUUAGUGAUCCGGUGGUUCCGCAUGGAAGGGCCAUCGCUCAACGGAUAAAAGCUACCCCGGGGAUAACAGGCUUAUCUCCCCCAAGAGUUCACAUCGACGGGGAGGUUUGGCACCUCGAUGUCGGCUCAUCGCAUCCUGGGGCUGUAGUCGGUCCCAAGGGUUGGGCUGUUCGCCCAUUAAAGCGGUACGCGAGCUGGGUUCAGAACGUCGUGAGACAGUUCGGUCCCUAUCCGUCGUGGGCGUAGGAAAUUUGAGAGGAGCUGUCCUUAGUACGAGAGGACCGGGAUGGACAUACCUCUGGUGUACCAGUUGUCGUGCCAACGGCAUAGCUGGGUAGCUAUGUGUGGACGGGAUAAGUGCUGAAAGCAUCUAAGCAUGAAGCCCCCCUCAAGAUGAGAUUUCCCAACUUCGGUUAUAAGAUCCCUCAAAGAUGAUGAGGUUAAUAGGUUCGAGGU
Molecule: ribosomal RNA, 2192 nt
Filed under: Staphylococcus aureus
Lineage: Bacteria; Bacillati; Bacillota; Bacilli; Caryophanales; Staphylococcaceae
Description: partial 23S ribosomal RNA
Rfam family: Bacterial large subunit ribosomal RNA
Source: RNAcentral